This 769-nucleotide long non-coding RNA is filed under the name Dromaius novaehollandiae (emu). RNAcentral's name for it is "lncRNA (ENSDNVG00000018449.1)". The record is from RNAcentral. Lineage: Eukaryota; Metazoa; Chordata; Aves; Casuariiformes; Dromaiidae.
UACCAGUAGGUGGAGCUGCCACGUUAGGUGCUGCAUUUUUUUCAUUUCUUCUCCCCCUCCACUCCCCCACCCUUCACCCCCCUUCUCCUAAUAAGCUGUUUUCUGAGAGAUGUUGGGUACCAUAGAGUGAGGCUGAGAACAGGAAGCGGAGGCAGAAUCAGAGAGGAUUCUGGAAAGGUCUCUGUGUUUUCUUUUCCACUGAGAAUACAGAAAUUAUAAUUAAUUAGUAAAGCUUUGUGGCUGGAAAUCUGGACAAUUUCAGRAGGAAACAUUAUAUUAUCAUAUUAUUUUUGGAUGCUGGGCUUUGCAGUGAUUUGCUGUUCUCUUUCAAUCAGGAAUAAGAAAGAAAAUAAGGACAAAGUAAAAAAAAAAAAGAAAAGAGUCAGAAAUAAAUCUAGUUUCAAUGAGACUAAAUAUCACCAGAAAAUCUCAUCGUAAUCUCAAUGGCUGAAGACUAAAGUUUGCAAGAUGUUGGAAAAAUGUGGCUAUGUGAAUAUGUAAACUUAUCUUUGUCUACUGCAAUUAAUUUUGAGAAGUUCUGGACACAGGAACAAAGAAUGAGAAAGCCGUGAAGAAACUUCAGUCUUAAAGAAGCUUCAGCUCCCAAGGAGAAACUUUUCUUAACAGUUCCAUUUUCUGCUAGAAAUGCAGGCUUUUUCUUUUCACUAUAGCAAAUAAUCUAGUGGCUAAAUUCUGAGAUUUUCCAUUUCUCAGAAACAUAAAGGUAAGCCUAUCUUUUCUUCUCAGCCAGACAAAAUGUUUCUCUUCA